Molecule: non-coding RNA, 28 nt
Filed under: Rattus norvegicus (Norway rat)
Lineage: Eukaryota; Metazoa; Chordata; Mammalia; Rodentia; Muridae
Source: RNAcentral
GCUUUUAGCUUUUGAAGUUGGCACAUUC